Molecule: ribosomal RNA, 496 nt
Filed under: uncultured bacterium
Lineage: Bacteria
Description: partial 16S ribosomal RNA
Rfam family: Bacterial small subunit ribosomal RNA
Source: RNAcentral
AUGCACGCUGGCGGCGUGCCUAAUCCCUGCAAGUCGCGCGAACGGACGAGAAGCUUGCUUCUCUGAUGUUAGCGGCGGACGGGUGAGUAACACGUGGAUAACCUACCUAUAAGACUGGGAUAACUUCGGGAAACCGGAGCUAAUACCGGAUAAUAUUUUGAACCGCAUGGUUCAAAAGUGAAAGACGGUCUUGCUGUCACUUAUAGAUGGAUCCGCGCUGCAUUAGCUAGUUGGUAAGGUAACGGCUUACCAAGGCAACGAUGCAUAGCCGACCUGAGAGGGUGAUCGGCCACACUGGAACUGAGACACGGUCCAGACUCCUACGGGAGGCAGCAGUAGGGAAUCUUCCGCAAUGGGCGAAAGCCUGACGGAGCAACGCCGCGUGAGUGAUGAAGGUCUUCGGAUCGUAAAACUCUGUUAUUAGGGAAGAACAUAUGUGUAAGUAACUGUGCACAUCUUGACGGUACCUAAUCAGAAAGCCACGGCUAACUACGUG